UACGGGGGGGGCAAGCGUUGUUCGGAAUUACUGGGCGUAAAGGGUUUGUAGGUGGCUUGCUAAGUCAGACGUGAAAUCCCUCAGCUUAACUGGGGAACUGCGUCUGAGACUGGCAAGCUUGAGUGCAGGAGAGGAACGCGGAAUUCCAGGUGUAGCGGUGAAAUGCGUAGAUAUCUGGAGGAACACCGGUGGCGAAGGCGGCGUUCUGGACCGACACUGACGCUGAGGAGCGAAAGCCAGGGGAGCAAACGGG
RNAcentral lists this ribosomal RNA (253 nucleotides) under uncultured bacterium. RNAcentral describes it as "partial 16S ribosomal RNA". It matches the Rfam family "Bacterial small subunit ribosomal RNA", at positions 524 to 776 of the family's 1533-position model. The record is from RNAcentral.